UUAAUACCGGAUAGAUCAAAGGUACUGGAAUGUUCUUUGUUUGAAAGCUCCGGCGCCCAAGGAUGGGUCUGCGGCCUAUCAGGUAGUAGUGGGUGUAACGUACCUACUAGCCUACGACGGGUAAGGGUUGUGAGAGCAAGAGCCCUGAGAUGGAUUCUGAGACAUGAAUCCAGGCCCUACGGGGUGCAGCAGGCGCGAAAACUUUACACUGCGGGAAACCGCGAUAAGGGGACCCCGAGUGCCAGCACCUAGUGCUGGCUGUCCAGCUGUUCAAAAAACAGUUGUUAGCAAGGGCCGGGCAAGACCGGUGCCAGCCGCCGCGGUAACACCGGCGGCCCGAGUGGUAGCCGUUAUUAUUGGGUUUAAAGGGUCCGUAGCCGGCCUAUUAAGUCUCUUGGGAAAUCUGGCGACUCAAUCGUCAGGCGUUCA
This 429-nucleotide ribosomal RNA is filed under the name uncultured archaeon. RNAcentral's name for it is "bacterial SSU rRNA". It matches the Rfam family "Archaeal small subunit ribosomal RNA", at positions 146 to 576 of the family's 1478-position model. The record is from RNAcentral.